Pantherophis guttatus is the source of this 1223-nucleotide non-coding RNA. The record is from RefSeq and is a predicted model, not a curated record. Lineage: Eukaryota; Metazoa; Chordata; Lepidosauria; Squamata; Colubridae.
CAGUUGUUCUCCAGUUCAUCUUGCAGUUUCACCAACUGCUGGAACACUGAAAAAGAAAUAAUAACAACAAUAAAAAAAAACCCUAAUGGGUUUUCCAUAUGCUGCUCUGACCCAAAUGUUUGAAAAGAUUCAGACAUUCUGAAUCUGUGUGCUCCGCUUGGGGAAGAUGCAGCUCUUCUAUGUUCUGCCGAGCUAAAAAUGGUUAAGUUAGAAAUCUCCCCCCUCCUUUUAAUCAAUUUUAUUUUCUCUACCAUCUAUCAUUCAUAGGCCUUCUUUGUCUUACCGGUAGUACAAAAUAUCUGAAAGGUGCUGUUUAAGUUAUCUAAACUAUCCUGUUUUUCUGAUCUGGCAGAAGUCUAACAAGUUUCCAACUCUGGAGUUUGACAUUCUGCAAGCAUGCUUGUGAAUUGUCCACAGCUGAAGAAAAUAAAGGCAGAAUGGCUUGUCCUGUCUACUUCCUUAAAGAAUGAGGUUGCACUCUCUGUGGCUCACUGAAAUUACUCAGCUUCAGUAAUCUGAAUGGCUUACCCUUGGAUCUAUAGAUUGCAUUAUUCUAUUUAAUAGAUGCUCUCAAAACAUUCAGAAAUGAGAAUGGUGGGGACAAGCUUUUCCCCUUGUGGUUGUCUCUUUCCUGCAGCUUACUGAAAGAGUUUGGAUGAAGUAUGGCUAGUCCUUGGCUUGCAACAGUUCGUUUAGUGACCGAGGUUACAGCGGCAUUGAAAAAAGAGAUUUAUGACCGUUUUUUUCACACUUAACAACCGUAGCAGCACUCCCAUGGUCACGUGAUCAGAAUUCAGAUGCCCGGCAACUGACUCAUAUUUAUGACGGUUGCAGUGUCCUGGGGUUAUACGAUGUUCUCUUUUGUGAUCUCCCGACAAGCAAAGUCAAUGGGGAAGCCUGGUUCACUUAAUAACCCUGUUUCUAACUUAACAACUUGCAGUGACCGAGUUAGCAACUGUGGCAAGAAAGGUUGUAAGAUGGGGCAAAACUCACUUAAUUGUCUCACUUAGCGACAGAAACUUUGGGCUCAAUUGUGGUCGUACGUCGAGGACUACCUGUAUAUGAAAAGCAUUAUGAAUCAGUAAGGACUGGACAAGCCUGAUUGUGUCAUUGCAUGCCAUCAACAGAUUCCCGUGAAGAAAAUCACUUGGAGUUGGAUGCGAUAGACGUGCAUAGCAUAUGAAUCAAAUGUACCCAAUUAAAUUGAACGUAACUGUCUGAAA